GUCCACGCUGUAAACGAUGUCGACUGGCUGUUGGUCGUAUGAAUACGAUUGGUGGCGUAGCUAACGCGCUAAGUUGACCGCCGUGGGGAGUACGGUCGCAAGAAUUAAAACUCAAAGGAAUUGACGGGGGCCCCGCACAAGCGGUGGAGCAUGUGGUUUAAUUCGAUGCAACGCGAAGAACCUUACCUACCCUUGACAUACAGUGAACCCUGAAGAGAUUUGGGGGUGCCGAGAGGAGCACUGAUACAGGUGCUGCAUGGCUGUCGU
This 267-nucleotide ribosomal RNA is filed under the name uncultured bacterium. RNAcentral's name for it is "partial 16S ribosomal RNA". It matches the Rfam family "Bacterial small subunit ribosomal RNA", at positions 793 to 1055 of the family's 1533-position model. The record is from RNAcentral.